AUGGAUGGAUACCGGCCGUGCUCAUCCUUGGCGCCCCGGCUGCGACCCAUGGUUGAUUGGCCGCCGGCUGGAAGGGGACGUCUCCUCCUAACUAAGCUUGAUGUGGGACUGACAGCCUGGUGUUUGAGGCAGGACCGCAUGAGUAGUGACUUGCAUCCAAAAAUCAAUAUGAAGAAACAGGUGUAUCUGAUGUACGAUCUGCACUUAAGAACAAGUGUACCAGUUGUUCCAAGCUGCCGGACGGCCAAAGAGUCGGUGAAACAGAGGUUGGUAGAUUAUUCCGGCAAUGGGGCUUCUGCUUGUGCGGCUCUGCAUACCAACCAGUUUAUGCCUGACAUUUGUGUCUCUACAUUAUGCGCGAGGCCCAGACCGAGCGUUCAAAGUAGGAAAACAAACUCGGCGUGGCGGCCGCUCCCCAUCUCCCUGCGUCAUCCAGAUUUGUUUCGGCUGGGUGCCACCCCGGCGGCUAAGAGUGUGCUGUCCCACGGAAGCAGGCCCCUCCUCUGUACUUCUACAACAUAUCCAGUUAUGGUUCCAUUGUUAUCGCGCACCAAACGUUCAAUGAAUUUCUUGAAGAAAAUGAAUGGAUUCUUUUGUUGUGUGCAUCAACCAGGUUGCAAUCACGACGAGCAACAAAUGUAUGCACUGAACUACUGGAAGGAAGAACAUACAACUGAGUGUAUGCACUACAGGAAUGGCACAAUAUUCUCAUGGCGGAAUGGGGAUGGGGCACUAUGUGACCCAACAACUGUUCUACCAGCAGGGUUGAUGGCAUUCUAUGGCAAUACCAAGAAUCCAAACAUCAUCCCCGAAGUGAUCCGUGGUGCUCACAAACAUCUCUCCAACUGGAAGGAAAAUAUUGGUGUUUGCUCCAUGGCGAAGCACUGUGUAAAGAGGCAUGCAGGGACAGACACAGGACUUGCCCUCCCUCCAUGA
This 936-nucleotide ribosomal RNA is filed under the name Triticum aestivum (bread wheat). RNAcentral describes it as "partial small subunit ribosomal RNA". Lineage: Eukaryota; Viridiplantae; Streptophyta; Magnoliopsida; Poales; Poaceae. The record is from RNAcentral.